RNAcentral lists this ribosomal RNA (230 nucleotides) under uncultured bacterium. RNAcentral's name for it is "partial 16S ribosomal RNA". It matches the Rfam family "Bacterial small subunit ribosomal RNA", at positions 568 to 796 of the family's 1533-position model. The record is from RNAcentral.
UGCGUAGGUGGUUUGAUAAGUCAGAGGUGAAAGCCCACCGCUUAACGGUGGAAUUGCCUUUGAUACUGUCAGACUUGAAUAAGGUUGAGGUCGGCGGAAUGUGUCAUGUAGCGGUGAAAUGCAUAGAUAUGACAUAGAACACCAAUUGCGAAGGCAGCUGGCUAGACCUUUAUUGACACUGAGGCACGAAAGCGUGGGGAGCGAACAGGAUUAGAUACCCCUGGUAGUCC